GAUGAAGAACGUAGCGAAAUGCGAUACUUGGUGUGAAUAGCAGAAUCCCGCGAAUCAUCGAGUUUUUGAACGCAAGUUGCGCCCGAAGCCAUUCGGCCGAGGGCACGUCUGCCUGGGUGUCACGCAUCGUUGCCCCCCCAAACUCCGGUUCGGGCGGGGCGGAAGUUGGCCUCCCGUGCGUGCCUGCGCGCGCGGUUAGCCCAAAAGCGAGUCCUCGGCGACGAGCGCCACGACAAUCGGUGGUUUUUUUACCCUCGUUCCUCGUCGUGCGUGUCCCGUCGCCCGAACGCGCUCUUGCGACCCUCACGCGUCGCCUCGGCGGCGCUCCCAACGCGACCCCAGGUCAGGCGGGACUACCCGCUGAGUUUAAGCAUAUCAAUAAGCGGAGGA
Molecule: unclassified non-coding RNA, 390 nt
Filed under: soil metagenome
Description: partial contains 5.8S ribosomal RNA, internal transcribed spacer 2, and large subunit ribosomal RNA
Rfam family: 5.8S ribosomal RNA (bases 1-122)
Source: RNAcentral